AUAAUCAGUUAAGUGAUUGACAGUUGUGGCGUCCUAUCAGGGGAGAGUAUGAUCUAUUUAAUGCGGGUUGGCUGUAUCCGGAGAUACGUCACGUCUUUGCUCCGCCCCGCGUGCGUCAUUCACUCGAGUCUCAGGUAUGUGUUGAUGGCGUCUGGUUUAAAUCAGGUGUUUAGAACACGACUGAUGUGUUGUCAUCCCUUCAAAUUGUAGCUGUCCAUCAGCACUUUUCCGACGGUGCACGUUAUCAGUUCAGAGUGUGUGUCUGUUCACCCUUCAGUUAAUCGGCGGUCUUGAUGAUUGCUGUAAACAGUAGCCAGAGGGAAUUAUAUGUGAGGAAUAUUCUCUUGUGGCGUGGGUCUUCUCUCUCAUCCUCCGGACCGUUCUUCGCUCUCGUCUUCAGUGCGAUCUCCCUCCUGUU
This is a long non-coding RNA of Rhinichthys klamathensis goyatoka, 418 nucleotides long. RefSeq lists it as uncharacterized. The transcript is spliced from 3 exons. The record is from RefSeq and is a predicted model, not a curated record. Lineage: Eukaryota; Metazoa; Chordata; Actinopteri; Cypriniformes; Leuciscidae.